UUCUGCACAGAGGUGGUUCUCUUUGCCUCCGAGGCACUUUUUGUAGAGUCCUUCCACACCAUCCUCCCCUCCCUGCCCCCACAAACCAGCAGCAAAGCAAGGAGGAGGAAAAGAGUUCCUGUCCUCCUGCUCUUCAGGUUAUGGCAGUGCUAAUGCCAGAGCCAGCUGCUGGGGGAGAAACUCCCCAGGACCUCACUGGGCAGCAUCUGGAUCACCUGAGGGAAGGGAGAAUCCAUGGCCUGCACCUGGAGCCACCUUGGGAACACAGCUGCAGCACUUACCUGACAAAUCCUGGUGCUAAAUGGGAUAAACAUAGAGGAUGGAGCUGUCACAGAGAUCACCAGCCAACACGCAGCAGCACCAGGAGAUGGUGGUACCUUGGGCUGCGUGGGGACAGUGACAUCUGCGUCACGUGGCGCAUCUCUUGGAGCACAACCCUCCAGCAUCAGUCUGCACAAACAGCCUCUGCAUCCCGAAGAAGAGGUAACUUUGAUUCACCUUAGGCAAAAUGAGGGCCUUCUGUGGUGUCUCCACAUUCUCCUGACGGGACGCGUGCUGGUUCAUCGGUGUGGCCAACCACAGCUCAUAGCAGCUCCUGCUCAGUCUGCGCUGCCGUGACCCUGCCUGGGAUUCCUACCACUUGUUUGUCUGACCCUGCUCUGCCUGGAUUUGGGCUGACAUCGUGCACCUCAAACACGACUCUCUUCCCCCAGAUUCCCAUUGGGAUCAACAUAUUGUGGCUCCUCAAAUGAAUUAUUUCAAUGAUUAUUUUGACCUUGCCCAAAUGAGAAAGGAAACAAAGGGAUGCAGAAACACAGUGUUUUGGUUUUCAGAAACUUCAAAUCAUCUGACCGAGGAACCAAAGUAUUUCAAGAAGGAUUCAAACCCAUUCGUUUUGCUCUGCGUUUCUCAUGAGGCCGAGACAGUGUUUCUCAAACUGCUCCAAAUUGCCGUCACAUCAACCACCGUCUCUCCCGGAGAACGGCACGACUCAGCGCUGGGGCGGCCGGAGCCCCGCACGAGCCAAGGGCCACCCACGGAGCCUCUGUAUGCGUCACGCCGGCUCCGGAGGGCUGCGUCCAGCCGUGGGUGUCCCAGCUGAGGUCCUUCGGGGGCAGCUCAGAGGUCCAAGGCUCUGCAAAGCAUCACCAGGCUCCCCGGCUCAGCCCUUGCAUCCUCCUCUGUGCUCUGCAAGAUCACCCCUCCCCUCGUGUCUGUUUGCUCCCUGGGACCAGCUUCUGUAGCCACAUAAAAGCCUUAUAAUCCUUCAGUGCA
Long non-coding RNA from Columba livia (rock pigeon), 1275 nucleotides. RefSeq lists it as uncharacterized. Lineage: Eukaryota; Metazoa; Chordata; Aves; Columbiformes; Columbidae. The transcript has 2 exons. The record is from RefSeq and is a predicted model, not a curated record.